This 253-nucleotide ribosomal RNA is filed under the name uncultured bacterium. Its description in RNAcentral is "partial 16S ribosomal RNA". It matches the Rfam family "Bacterial small subunit ribosomal RNA", at positions 524 to 776 of the family's 1533-position model. The record is from RNAcentral.
UACGUAGGGGGCAAGCGUUGUCCGGAAUCAUUGGGCGUAAAGAGCGUGUAGGCGGCUCGAUAAGUCUGCUGUGAAAGUCCAGGGCUCAACCCUGGAAAGCCGGUGGAUACUGUCGGGCUCGAGUCCGGAAGAGGCGAGUGGAAUUCCUGGUGUAGCGGUGGAAUGCGCAGAUAUCAGGAGGAACACCGAUGGCGAGGGCAGCUCGCUGGGACGGUACUGACGCUGAGGCGCGAAAGCGUGGGGAGCGAACAGG